GUAACUCCUGCGGGAGGCAGCAGUGGGGAAUAUUGGACAAUGGGCGCAAGCCUGAUCCAGCCAUGCCGCGUGAGUGAUGAAGGCCCUAGGGUUGUAAAGCUCUUUCACCGGUGAAGAUAAUGACGGUAACCGGAGAAGAAGCCCCGGCUAACUUCGUGCCAGCAGCCGCGGUAAUACGAAGGGGGCUAGCGUUGUUCGGAUUUACUGGGCGUAAAGCGCACGUAGGCGGACUAUUAAGUCAGGGGUGAAAUCCCGGGGCUCAACCCCGGAACUGCCUUUGAUACUGGUAGUCUUGAGUUCGAGAGAGGUGAGUGGAAUUCCGAGUGUAGAGGUGAAAUUCGUAGAUAUUCGGAGGAACACCAGUGGCGAAGGCGGCUCACUGGCUCGAUACUGACGCUGAGGUGCGAAAGCGUGGGGAGCAAACAGGAUUAGAUACCCCAGUAGUCCCAUGAU
This 453-nucleotide ribosomal RNA is filed under the name uncultured organism. RNAcentral describes it as "partial 16S ribosomal RNA". It matches the Rfam family "Bacterial small subunit ribosomal RNA", at positions 332 to 801 of the family's 1533-position model. The record is from RNAcentral.